UUUUAUCUUUUGCUUUAGCAACAUUUUCUCUUAUUUUUUUUAUUUCUCUUGACCUUUUUCUCACCCAAAAAAAUUAAAAUUAUUUUUGACAAUAGAAAAAAUAUAAUUUCAAUAUUAAAUUAGCAUAUAUUACAAUACCCUGAUAUUUAAUUGACAAAAUAAAGUAAUUAGCUUAAUCUCUUGAACACAUCUUCUCAAACCAAAUUGCUUUUGAACUUACCAAACGGUAUCAUAUUGCAAACUUACAGGCAACAAUUAAAUGGCAUUAUGAAAAUUUUGUUUUCCCUUAAUGGGAGGCUUUCAAAGAGAAAGCCCCCUCCAAAAAUAGGCGUAUGCCGCUGUGAGCGGCGAGCACACGGUAUUCUUUAGUAAAAGGCGAAAGAAUAGUUCGCUAUGUGCUCACCGCACGGCUCCGUACCUUGCACACUGCCCACUCGUUUGGUUUUAUAUUCACUCUGCGUCGUCAUCUUUCUUCCUCCUUUCGAUGUGGGACUCUGGCUUUCUUCCCUUCUCCGCCAAACUCUCUUCCCUUGCUCGACUCUUUACUGCGCGAAAUCUUUCUUUCUCUUCCUUUGGUUGCUUCGAUUUUAGCUCCCUUUGUAUGUAUGAGCACAGCGAUCCACUGCCAUAUGGUUGGUUCGUUGGCUGGAUGGCACUGAAAGCUUUCGUGGGGAUUCAAUGACCAAAAACAAAUACAAGAAAGAGCUUCAGAUCUUAAAUCCUUCAAUGGCUUGGAAAACAUGAAAACUGGGCAUCUCCUAGGGGAAACAUCAAUGGUUGUGUUUGAGAUUUCAAGUUCAUGAAAUCUCAAACCUUAAAAUAUGGUACAGAGGAAUUUUGGAAGGGGGAUGGCUACAUCCUCUUAUAUACCUAAGGCCUAUGGUCAUUAACUUCCCUCAAACAAAAAUAAAUAAAGUUAGUCCAAUUGUGGGCUUUGUUGACUCUAGGGGACUACUGGUAGAACCGUGAGUGUAUGUUCCCAAAUUUCACUUUCACUGCUCAUUUGAUGCCUUGUGUUAGCUUCCUGAUUAUUAUGGUUCCUCUGGUGGUACAGCAUGGAUGUGUUCAAAUUUUCCCAUCACCUAUCCACAGGAGAAAAGAUAGGUCCUCCCCAUCACGCAUCCUGUAAGAUUACAUUACAUGUUACCCCCACUGUAAAUUUGUCUUCUUAUAACCUUAUUAUUACACAUAACAGUCUAAAAGUGACUUUUUUGAAGGUAACUGUUCAAUCAUUAGCUUUGGGAUGGCUUAUGAUAGGUUAUGUGACUUUAACUGAAGUUACUUUACGAAAAAAAAAAUUAAGUGAUGCCUGUUUUACCUUUUAAUUGUGAAAAUGACCUAGUAAAAAUAACUUAAGAAAUUUUAACAUGUGAGAAUCAAAAGUUGAAAUGUGCUGCGUCAAAGUCAAACAUCCCUAAGAAUCUCUACUUUUAGAUCCCACUCUUCCUUUUGCAGUUCAGUUUAAAGAAUACUUCUUCAAAAGCAAGUCAGAGCAGUUUAUUGGAGGAGAAUAAUCGUGGUUUGCAUCAACUGCUGAAGACCAUCAAUUUCAUUUCUAACAGCUGAUUUGGUGGAGAGGAAUGUUUUACUCUGCCCACCCAUUUACAGGGGAAAAUAUACACAUAUUUGGUUGUGGGAACUGGAAUUACUGGCUCCUGUCAAAAUUGUUGAAGUUACAGCUCUUUGUCCUUCAUGUUUCAAGAGCGUCUCAAUCGAGAAGUGAGAUCAAUGAAGGUGUCUUCGUCGCAUGGAAUUGUUAGAGCGCCCAUUGGGUGGUUGAAACCGAAUUCUUCCUCAGCUCGGUUGAGCAAGUCCAGGAAUGAUGGAUGCUUCAAGUAAGAUAUUGGAACCACGAACCGCUUGUUCCUCCUGAUAUCUCCUACGUAAACCGCGAUGUGGCCUUUUGGAAUGCCAGACUGGGUUCGAGUGAGGAGAGACUGCAAUUUGAAACUCUGUUUGGCAUUAAGAAUCACAGAGAGCAACCGGAUACCCAUGACUAUAUAUUCUGUGAAUUGGAGGGAAAGUUCACUGAAAGGAUCUAAAUGCUUUGUGUUGACUUAAGAGCUGGUGGUGGAAGUUCUAGCUAGCACUUGUGAAGGGAGUGUGUGUAAAGAUUUGGGAUAUAUGAGUUUAUUCAUUAUCAUGCUUGUAUUUAUAGAGCAUAGCAAUUGAAGAAGAGGGCCAAAUAGGGUGACCUAGGGUCUAAAAGUACAGUGAGAAGGCUGGAAAGCAGUUGGGGUGUGCUGUGGAGGGACCCAUCCCUUGAAUGCUCACAUGGCUUUGCUGAUACAGCUCAACAAGUCCCUGUUUUUCUCUUUCGCACACAUCUAUUCAUAUUGAGUAUCCCCACAUGUGCCCCUGCAAUUAAACGAACUGGCAGAUGCAGCUUUCCAUAUCUGAUGUUCAAGAAAACAGACAAUGCACCGGAAUGUAAAUGCAAGCAGAGAAGGAGACGAUAUGAGAUUUCCUCUUUUCCAAGUAAGGAAAGCAAAAGAGUGAUGAGUGAUAAAUGGUUGUAUCAACUUCUUGAGAGUCUGUUUGCUGUAGUCUUCUAUUGUCCACACUCAGUUUUAUUGUCUUGUGAGAAAUGGUAGGAAUGCAGGUCAAUUAGUCCAGCUGGGUUUGAUCAAUAUAUUAUAUGACCAGAUUACAUUAA
Long non-coding RNA from Malania oleifera, 2656 nucleotides. RefSeq lists it as uncharacterized. The transcript is spliced from 2 exons. NCBI's taxonomy places the organism in Eukaryota, Viridiplantae, Streptophyta, Magnoliopsida, Santalales, Ximeniaceae. The record is from RefSeq and is a predicted model, not a curated record.